UGGCGGCGUGCCUAAUACAUGCAAGUAGAACGCUGAAGAGAGGAGCUUGCUCUUCUUGGAUGAGUUGCGAACGGGUGAGUAACGCGUAGGUAACCUGCCUUGUAGCGGGGGAUAACUAUUGGAAACGAUAGCUAAUACCGCAUAACAAUGGAUGACACAUGUCAUUUAUUUGAAAGGGGCAAUUGCUCCACUACAAGAUGGACCUGCGUUGUAUUAGCUAGUAGGUGAGGUAAUGGCUCACCUAGGCGACGAUACAUAGCCGACCUGAGAGGGUGAUCGGCCACACUGGGACUGAGACACGGCCCAGACUCCUACGGGAGGCAGCAGUAGGGAAUCUUCGGCAAUGGGGGCAACCCUGACCGAGCAACGCCGCGUGAGUGAAGAAGGUUUUCGGAUCGUAAAGCUCUGUUGUAAGUCAAGAACGGGUGUGAGAGUGGAAAGUUCACACUGUGACGGUAGCUUACCAGAAAGGGACGGCUAACUACGUGCCAGCAGCCGCGGUAAUACGUAGGUCCCGAGCGUUGUCCGGAUUUAUUGGGCGUAAAGCGAGCGCAGGCGGUUUGAUAAGUCUGAAGUUAAAGGCUGUGGCUCAACCAUAGUUCGCUUUGGAAACUGUCAAACUUGAGUGCAGAAGGGGAGAGUGGAAUUCCAUGUGUAGCGGUGAAAUGCGUAGAUAUAUGGAGGAACACCGGUGGCGAAAGCGGCUCUCUGGUCUGUAACUGACGCUGAGGCUCGAAAGCGUGGGGAGCGAACAGGAUUAGAUACCCUGGUAGUCCACGCCGUAAACGAUGAGUGCUAGGUGUUGGAUCCUUUCCGGGAUUCAGUGCCGCAGCUAACGCAUUAAGCACUCCGCCUGGGGAGUACGACCGCAAGGUUGAAACUCAAAGGAAUUGACGGGGGCCCGCACAAGCGGUGGAGCAUGUGGUUUAAUUCGAAGCAACGCGAAGAACCUUACCAGGUCUUGACAUCCCGAUGCUAUUUCUAGAGAUAGAAAGUUACUUCGGUACAUCGGUGACAGGUGGUGCAUGGUUGUCGUCAGCUCGUGUCGUGAGAUGUUGGGUUAAGUCCCGCAACGAGCGCAACCCCUAUUGUUAGUUGCCAUCAUUCAGUUGGGCACUCUAGCGAGACUGCCGGUAAUAAACCGGAGGAAGGUGGGGAUGACGUCAAAUCAUCAUGCCCCUUAUGACCUGGGCUACACACGUGCUACAAUGGUUGGUACAACGAGUUGCGAGUCGGUGACGGCGAGCUAAUCUCUUAAAGCCAAUCUCAGUUCGGAUUGUAGGCUGCAACUCGCCUACAUGAAGUCGGAAUCGCUAGUAAUCGCGGAUCAGCACGCCGCGGUGAAUACGUUCCCGGGCCUUGUACACACCGCCCGUCACACCACGAGAGUUUGUAACACCCGAAGUCGGUGAGGUAACCUUUUGGAGCCAGCCGCCUA
This 1438-nucleotide ribosomal RNA is filed under the name Streptococcus thermophilus. RNAcentral's name for it is "bacterial SSU rRNA". It matches the Rfam family "Bacterial small subunit ribosomal RNA". Lineage: Bacteria; Bacillati; Bacillota; Bacilli; Lactobacillales; Streptococcaceae. The record is from RNAcentral.